CGCGGCCUAUCAGCUUGUUGGUGAGGUAAAGGCUCACCAAGGCAUUGACGGGUAGCUGGUCUGAGAGGACGAUCAGCCACACUGGGACUGAGACACGGCCCAGACUCCUGCGGGAGGCAGCAGUGGGGAAUCUUGCGCAAUGGGCGAAAGCCUGACGCAGCAACGCCGCGUGGGGGAUGAAGGCUCUCGGGUUGUAAACCCCUUUCAGCAGGGACGAAAUUGACGGUACCUGUAGAAGAAGCCCCGGCCAACUACGUGCCAGCAGCCGCGGUAACACGUAGGGGGCGAGCGUUGUCCGGAAUUAUUGGGCGUAAAGGGCUCGUAGGCGGUUCGGUAAGUCAGAUGUGAACGGUUGGGGCUCAACCCUAAGACUGCAUUUGAUACUGCCGUGACUAGAGUCCGGUAGAGGAGCGUGGAAUUCCUGGUGUAGCGGUGAAAUGCGCAGAUAUCAGGAGGAACACCGACGGCGAAGGCAGCACUCUGGGCCGGUACUGACGCUGAGGAGCGAAAGCGUGGGUAGCAAACAGGAUUAGAUACCCUGGUAGUCCACGCCGUAAACGUUGGGCACUAGGUGUGGGACCUUAUCAACGGGUUCCGUGCCGUAGCUAACGCAUUAAGUGCCCCGCCUGGGGAGUACGG
This 639-nucleotide ribosomal RNA is filed under the name uncultured bacterium. RNAcentral describes it as "bacterial SSU rRNA". It matches the Rfam family "Bacterial small subunit ribosomal RNA", at positions 232 to 885 of the family's 1533-position model. The record is from RNAcentral.